The sequence is an unclassified non-coding RNA, 299 nucleotides long. It matches the Rfam family "Metazoan signal recognition particle RNA". From Rfam's summary of the family: The signal recognition particle (SRP) is a universally conserved ribonucleoprotein. It is involved in the co-translational targeting of proteins to membranes. The record is from Ensembl.
GCCGGACGCGAUGGUGUGCACCUACAGUUCCAGCUACUCGGGAGGCUUAGGAUGGAGAACUGCUUGAGUCCAGGAGUUCUGGGCUGCAGUGCCCUAUGCCAUCGGGUGUCCGCACUAGGUCUGGCAUCAAUACGUUGACCUCUCCGGAGUGGGGGGCCACCAGGUUGCCUACGGAGGGGUGAACUGGCCCAGGUCAGAAACGGAGCAGGUGGAAACUCCUGUGCUGAUCAGCAGUGGAACUGUGCCUGUGAACAGCCACUGCACUCCAGCCUGGGCGACACAGCAAGACUCUGUCUCUU